UGAACGCUGGCGGCGUGCCUAAUACAUGCACGUCGAGCGAACGGACGCGAAGCUUGCUUUUCUGAUGUUAGCGGCGGACGGGUGAGUAACACGUGGAUAACCUACCUAUAAGACUGGGAUAACUUCGGGAAACCGGAGCUAAUACCGGAUAAUAUUUUGAACCGCAUGGUUCAAAAGUGAAAGACGGUCUUGCUGUCACUUAUAGAUGGAUCCGCGCUGCAUUAGCUAGUUGGUAAGGUAACGGCUUACCAAGGCAACGAUGCAUAGCCGACCUGAGAGGGUGAUCGGCCACACUGGAACUGAGACACGGUCCAGACUCCUACGGGAGGCAGCAGUAGGGAAUCUUCCGCAAUGGGCGAAAGCCUGACGGAGCAACGCCGCGUGAGUGAUGAAGGUCUUCGGAUCGUAAAACUCUGUUAUUAGGGAAGAACAUAUGUGUAAGUAACUGUGCACAUCUUGACGGUACCUAAUCAGAAAGCCACGGCUAACUACGUG
Molecule: ribosomal RNA, 495 nt
Filed under: uncultured bacterium
Lineage: Bacteria
Description: partial 16S ribosomal RNA
Rfam family: Bacterial small subunit ribosomal RNA
Source: RNAcentral